Molecule: long non-coding RNA, 205 nt
Organism: Carassius carassius (crucian carp)
Lineage: Eukaryota; Metazoa; Chordata; Actinopteri; Cypriniformes; Cyprinidae
Exons: 3
Source: RefSeq, a predicted model, not a curated record
ACUAGAGCAGGUGAAGCGAAGUGACGGUAUUUCAUCACCUGACCAGCAGUGCCUCGCGCCUCCGACCCGCCCACUCUUCACGUGCACGCGGGUUAAGGUGAUGUAUGAUCUCCCAUAAACUGGCUUGCUCCUCAUCACUGGAGUCUCUGAAACUCACACAUCUCUUGGUCCUCGUGGAAUGUGAGGGUGCAUACAGAUACAGAUA